RNAcentral lists this ribosomal RNA (469 nucleotides) under uncultured bacterium. Its description in RNAcentral is "partial 16S ribosomal RNA". It matches the Rfam family "Bacterial small subunit ribosomal RNA", at positions 28 to 508 of the family's 1533-position model. The record is from RNAcentral.
GACGAACGCUGGCGGCGUGCUUAACACAUGCAAGUCGAACGGAAAGGCCCUGCUUUUGUGGGGUGCUCGAGUGGCGAACGGGUGAGUAACACGUGAGUAACCUGCCCUUGACUUUGGGAUAACUUCAGGAAACUGGGGCUAAUACCGGAUAGGAGCUCCUGCUGCAUGGUGGGGGUUGGAAAGUUUCGGCGGUUGGGGAUGGACUCGCGGCUUAUCAGCUUGUUGGUGGGGUAGUGGCUUACCAAGGCUUUGACGGGUAGCCGGCCUGAGGGGGUGACCGGCCACAUUGGGACUGAGAUACGGCCCAGACUCCUACGGGAGGCAGCAGUGGGGAAUAUUGCACAAUGGGCGGAAGCCUGAUGCAGCAACGCCGCGUGCGGGAUGACGGCCUUCGGGUUGUAAACCGCUUUCGCCUGUGACGAAGCGUGAGUGACGGUAAUGGGUAAAGAAGCACCGGCUAACUACGUGC